Molecule: ribosomal RNA, 480 nt
Filed under: uncultured bacterium
Lineage: Bacteria
Description: partial 16S ribosomal RNA
Rfam family: Bacterial small subunit ribosomal RNA
Source: RNAcentral
GACGAACGCUGGCGGCGGGCUUAACACAUGCAAGUCGAACGGAAUCCAUGGAGCUUGCUCCGGAAGAUUUAGUGGCGAACGGGUGAGGAACACGUGAGAAACCUGCCCCGAACUUUGGGAUAACAGUUGGAAACGACUGCUAAUACCAAAUACCUCCGCGAUGUGGCAUCACAUUGCGAAGAAAGAAUUUCGGUUCGGGAGGGUCUCGCGGCCUAUCAGCUAGUUGGUGGGGUAAUGGCCUACCAAGGCAUCGACGGGUAGCUGGUCUGCGAGGAUGAUCAGCCACACUGGGACUGAGACACGGCCCAGACUCCUACGGGAGGCAGCAGUGGGGAAUCUUGUGCAAUGGGGGCAACCCUGACACAGCCACGCCGCGUGCGGGAAGAAGGCCUUCGGGUCGUAAACCGCUUUCAGCAGGAACGAAAAUGACGGUACCUGCAGAAGAAGGAGCGGCCAACUACGUGCCAGCCGCCGCAGUAA